GUUCCAAUCAGCGUUGUUAUUCAGUUGUUAUUUCCUUGUGUGGUUUACGGUGUUCUUUCACUGUUAAGGUUUGUCUUGAUUUAUGUCCUGUCAUAGAAAGUUUUUUGUUGUGAAUUUCGUGUAAGGAGCUUUUGAAAGAAACAAUGCCCAAACAUAAGGCUGUAUUGAUCUGGUAUUUUAUUUCCUCAGAGGAGUGUUCGUCUCUGAUUGAUGGAGUUGAUGUGUUUGUAAAUUUUAAGGUGAGAAGUUAGUGCUGGAAAGAAACAUCACUUCCUCUGCAUUGUUUCCUUCUCAAAACAGUUAAGUGUUUCAAGUAAUUCACCAACAAAAGGAAAAUUAGCUCCAGUGAUUCUGCCGAGAUUUAUGUCAAUACUUAAGCAUAUUUUGUAUAUAUAUGUCGAAUAAUCCUAUCACUAAUAUUUUUAAAUCGAUGAUUCUAUACAGCUAUUGUAAUAUUUAUUGUUAAAAAAAUAUAUUGAGAUCUUAAGAGAUUUAGAAUUUGUGAUCAACACAAAAAUUUAAAACGUUACAUAACUAACAAAUAUAAUAUCACUAUCUAACUACCACUAUAUAGUAUAUUCUAAACAUGUACAAAUAAGAGUGUUUCUAAUACAUAGAUAAGUGUACUUAGCAUAUAUUUUCCCUAACUAAGAGGAAUGUAUUGAAUUAAAGGUUUUAGAAGAUUUUAGAGUAUUUUAAUUUUGGUUGGAUUUAGGUGAAAUUUGAAAUUAUUUGAGUGAUUUUAGUAAAACUUAAAAAUAAAAAUGAAACCAAUAGGUGAUUUGGUAUGAUAUUUUCUAAAAAUUUCAAAGUUGUUUAAGUGAUUUGAAAUGAUAAUAUAUAUUUUUAAGCUUGGACAUUCGGGGUCCCAAUCGGAUUUCGGAUUUCGGCUUUGUCUAAUCGGGUUUUGGUUAUUUAGGUUUAUCAAAAUCAGUCAUAUUUGGGUUCUAUCGGGUUCAGGUCGAGAUUAGUAAAUCAUCAGAGAACCGGUAUAACCCGAUGUAAUUUUGGGUUCGGGUCCCAAUCGGUUCUUUAGUUUAAAAGUAUCUGAUUUAUACCUAAUUUGUAGUCAAAACAUAAGUAAAGUCAGUUCUUUGAUUUUAGAGUAUCUGAUUUGUACUUAUUUUAUGACCGAAACAUAAGUAAAAUCGAUUCAAAAAUAAAAAAAGAAACAUCAAACGUGACCACUUAAAAUCAAAUAAAAUGUAAACAUAGUAAUUAAUCGAAAGAAAACCAAAUAACUAAAAGAAUAAACGACAACAAAGUUCUCAUGAAACGAAAAACAUUAUUCAAUGAAAACAAAACCAAAAUAUAAAAAUUUCAAGCCUCAACCGCCACCUUCAACCAUCAAACUUCAUGCAAUAGAUAAUUAUCUUAGAAGUAUAUUAAGAAUUGAAACUAAUUUGAAAAAUAAUCAAUAUAAUUUGAAAAACCAACAACUAAUUUGUUUGUUUUUUGAAGUAUAUACAAAAUUAAAAAUAAUAAAAAUAUAUUAGGAAUUUUAAAAAUAAAUUAAUUAUCAAAUAUAAAUAUUAAAACUCAAAGGUUAAAAAAAAAGGUUAAUCAUGAAUCAAAAUCAGUUUUAAAAGAUUAGCCCCGUUGUAUAAGAUUGGUGGUUUAUAGUAUAAGAAUAUUUUAUUCAAAAAUGUGAUUUUAGCCGGAUAACUCAAAAUUUUCUGAAAAAUAUGAACCAUGCAAAAAUUGAAGUACUUGAAAUUUAACGGGUUUCUAACAUCAUUAUAUCGAACAAACUGAAAACCAAAAUAUUCAAUCACCCUAACCAAACUCAAUUUCAUAAAUAACUUAGCAGUUUCUAUAUUUUAAACCGAAAAAAUAAAAACAUUAAACCGAACUAAAAUAAAAAACCAGCAAAUAAUAAAAUGGACCAAACCAAAGGGCCACGCUUAACAUAUUAGUUAAUAUAUAGACGGGUUAAUAAAUUUGUUACCAAAAAAUAAUCUCGCGCUUUGAAAGCACGGGUCAAAAUCUAGUCAAUACUAUUAAAACUGAAGGGCCUUUUUUGAGACCACCUUCAAGUUUUGAAGUAUUUACAACUUCAUGCCACUGAAUUAUUUUUAAACUAUGAUUUCAAUUAAAUUAUUUUAUUUUUUAAAUUUCCUUUUAUUUAACCAUCCUAUUUUUUCGAGUCUUUUUCAACGCCUUUAUUUAAUUUACCAUGUGUAAUCUUACUUUUAAUCUCUCUCUGCCAUCGUAGAUGUAUUAAAAGAUGUAUUCACAUAAACAAUUAUACUUUUCAAUCUUUCCAUUGCUUAAACAAUAUAUUCACGUAAAAAACUGUACAAUUAAAUCCAGAUAUCAAGUUACAUGAACGAUGACAUGUUUAUUUCAUUAACAGAAUUCGAUUCUGUGUUUGCUUCAACACCAUACAUAAGGUUUAAAACCAUCUUAAACUGCUAUAACGCUCUUUUCCAUUGCUUAAACAAUAUAUGGCAGUAACAAAUUGUACAUUUAAAUU
Molecule: long non-coding RNA, 2476 nt
Organism: Brassica napus (rape)
Lineage: Eukaryota; Viridiplantae; Streptophyta; Magnoliopsida; Brassicales; Brassicaceae
Exons: 2
Source: RefSeq, a predicted model, not a curated record